RNAcentral lists this long non-coding RNA (2350 nucleotides) under Lactuca sativa (garden lettuce). RNAcentral describes it as "long non-coding RNA (LSAT_LNC002945)". The record is from RNAcentral. Lineage: Eukaryota; Viridiplantae; Streptophyta; Magnoliopsida; Asterales; Asteraceae.
CAACUUCCUCUUCUUCUAAAUCCUCUGAAAACUCCUCUCUAAAUCCUUCAUCCUACACUCACGUUUACACCCUCAACCACCCUAAAACACCUUCUUUUACCACCCAAAUGUCUUCUUAUAACCCCACAGUAGAUCACCACCUCCAGCCAACCUUCCCUCUCGUCACAAGACUCAACUGAAACCCAAAAACGGAGGCAGCAGGAGGCUGCCAUCACAGCUCCACCACCCCCUGUCACCCCGUUGCUCCAUUGUCACCCUCCCCUUACCUACCAGAAAACCACCUCUACCGCUACUGUGUACUACCUUGUGACACCCUCCAUCCUUCUCUUCCUUCGUCUUCAUCAAAACAGUAGCAGAAAACCAACAGCAGGAGGCUGCCGGCCUCCACCCAUCAUCACCGAACUACCAUUCUGCUGCAAGCUACCUCCACUGGCCACCACUUGUUGCCAUAGGUAACCUCCAAACACCCUUGAAUUAACAAAUUAUGCACAUCUGCGCAACUGGGAAUCACGAGACCAUUCAUUUCAAUUCUUUUUGUAUUUACGUAAAGAAGAUGAAGAACACAGGAGGUUGUUACCUCCUGUGUAAAAGAUAGUAUUGUGCGAAUUAGGAUACCAAAUAAAUACAUGCAGUCCCUCUAUUUCGACUUUUCCCAAGUUUAGUCCCUCCCUAUUUAGAAUUAUCUCAAAUCUAGUUGUUAAACAAUGAAAGUUUAAUCAAAAUAUUUAAAACUUACCCUAAACUGGACAAAUCUUUACAAAACAAAUCCAACUAAAAAAUUAAAUGAAUAAUGUUUAUACGUAUAUUUUAGAAAUUUUAAAUUUGAUUUCAAGUUUAAAUUAAUUUUGGGUUAUUUAAAUACUUGCGGAAAAAUAAUAAAUUAAAUUUUAAAAUUUAUUUAAAAUAAUUAUUUCAAUAAGUUUUAAAUUGGCAAAACUUAGGGAACUAUUCAAGAAAUUGUUAUAAUACCUAAUCACGUCCAAAUAUUAAUAUAUAUCAAAAUUUCUAGGAAAUCGAACUAAUCCCGGAGAUCACGACCUCACGGCAAUACAUUCUGGUCUUCAGAACUACUCAUUUACCACUCGAUAAGGUGAGAGUUACGGCCCCUUUUCAAUAUUUUAUUUAUUCUUGGGGGAGAAUACAUGUGGUAAAUAGUAUUUAUUAUGCAAAUACAUAUGCCUUAUAUGAUAUACAUGGUACAAUUUUAAAAGUUAUAAAGACUUCCAUAUCUGAAUACUAGGCAUUACACACUUGUACAAUACCAUUAUGUUAAAUACGUCAACCAUACUCGACUUUUACAAAUACUAUACUACGAAAUUCAUUAUGCCCGGUACUUAUCUAUAAUUAAGUUAGGGCUGAGAGUUAUUCAUAAACUUUUCGUUAAUGGUUUUUGAGUGAGACGCUACUAUUCAUUAGCUGAGUUUAAUCACUUAGCCUGCCCCAUACUGCUAUAAUCGUUAAUCUUCGGAGCGAGGUACAUAUAUAUAGAUCUAUAUGGGGUCGACAACCCCACCUGCGGUUGCUAGCUACAACCAUCGACUGAUCAAUCGAAGCAGGUGAUAUGUGUCUACGAUCGUUACUACGACGUCCAAUGAAGCGUCGUAGGGAGGGGUACUUUUCGUCUAUAGCUCGAUUAUAGAACUCACUAAAAACAUUAACACGAAUCUCUCUCACUUUUUCAUUACAACCAUAGGUUUGGUUGCUNNNAGCGAGGUACAUAUGUAUAGAUCUAUAUGGGGUCGACAACUCCACCUGCGGUUGCUAGCUACAACCAUCGACUGAUCAAUCGUAGCAGGUGAUACGUGUCUACGAUCGUUACUACGACAUCCAAUGAAGUGUCGUAGGGAGGGGUACUUUUCGUCCAUAGCUCGAUUAUAGAACUCACUAAAAACAUUAACACAAAUCUCUCCCACUUUUUCAUUACAACCAUAGGUUUGGUUGCUGUCAGAACUAUUUUUAAGUAUAGUGGUUACUUAUACUAUGGAUAUGUUUAAAUUUUCAUGAAGUUAUUACAAACACGUUUUCUUUAAAAGCAUGAAUUUAUUUUAAAAAAUACUUUUUGGCUUUUAAAGACUCAUGACAAGCAUUGCUUCAACUAUUGUUAUACAAGAAAAAUACUUUAUGACUUUUGAAAGUAUUAUUACUGCGGCUAGCAGAAAACCUGUGACUCUCACCAACCUCGUGUUGACUUUCAAAAUACAUGUAUUCUCAGGAAAUCAGUGAAAUUUCGGGCACACUCAGACGAUGGAAAACAUGGCUCGCAAGUACUUUAAUUUUCUACUUUUGAACUGUUAUGCCUAACUGUUAAGGCAAACUUGUAUUAUUAUUUUAUUACUAUCUGUAAGAACCA